Molecule: non-coding RNA, 253 nt
Organism: Pelobates cultripes (western spadefoot toad)
Lineage: Eukaryota; Metazoa; Chordata; Amphibia; Anura; Pelobatidae
Source: the annotation of a GenBank genome assembly
CCGGAGGAAGGUUCAGGGAUACAGUACCUGGGUGAGGCCUCGCUCCUCUGCAGACAUAGCAGUUAGACUUGUUAUGUUUAGUAGCAUUGUAUUUCAUCCAUUCAAGCCACAAGUUAGUGUCAGAGAAACCUGUCUCUACAGCCAUAGUAUCCUCAAAUAUGGGAUGACUACCAUGUCUUUUAAAGUCCUAAUGUGUGGUUUGAGGGGAUUAACAGUCAUGUGCGUGGCACCUACCCAUUCAGGUGAGUCAUAC